RNAcentral lists this ribosomal RNA (232 nucleotides) under uncultured bacterium. RNAcentral describes it as "partial 16S ribosomal RNA". It matches the Rfam family "Bacterial small subunit ribosomal RNA", at positions 99 to 334 of the family's 1533-position model. The record is from RNAcentral.
CGGACGGGUGAGUAAUGUCUGGGAAACUGCCCGAUGGAGGGGGAUAACUACUGGAAACGGUAGCCAAUACCGCAUAACGUCGCAAGACCAAAGAGGGGGACCUUCGGGCCUCUUGCCAUCGGAUGUGCCCAGAUGGGAUUAGCUAGUAGGUGGGGUAACGGCUCACCUAGGCGACGAUCCCUAGCUGGUCUGAGAGGAUGACCAGCCACACUGGGACUGAGACACGGCCCAG